This 67-nucleotide ribosomal RNA is filed under the name Onchocerca volvulus. Its description in RNAcentral is "partial 28S ribosomal RNA". It matches the Rfam family "Eukaryotic large subunit ribosomal RNA", at positions 1 to 68 of the family's 3401-position model. The record is from RNAcentral. Lineage: Eukaryota; Metazoa; Nematoda; Chromadorea; Rhabditida; Onchocercidae.
UGACCUCCACUCAGUCGUGAUUACCCGCUGAAUUAAGCAUAUACCUAAGCGGAGGAAAAGAAACUAA